UACGUAGGGUGCAAGCGUUGUCCGGAAUUAUUGGGCGUAAAGAGCUCGUAGGCGGUCUGUCGCGUCGGCUGUGAAAACUCGGGGCUCAACUCCGAGCUUGCAGUCGAUACGGGCAGGCUAGAGUUCGGCAGGGGAGACUGGAAUUCCUGGUGUAGCGGUGAAAUGCGCAGAUAUCAGGAGGAACACCGGUGGCGAAGGCGGGUCUCUGGGCUGUAACUGACGCUGAGGAGCGAAAGCGUGGGUAGCGAACAGG
Molecule: ribosomal RNA, 253 nt
Filed under: uncultured bacterium
Lineage: Bacteria
Description: partial 16S ribosomal RNA
Rfam family: Bacterial small subunit ribosomal RNA
Source: RNAcentral